RNAcentral lists this long non-coding RNA (1390 nucleotides) under Homo sapiens (human). RNAcentral's name for it is "non-protein coding lnc-OR4F29-7:6". Lineage: Eukaryota; Metazoa; Chordata; Mammalia; Primates; Hominidae. The record is from RNAcentral.
UUUAGGCCAAGCUCAUGCUUCACAAGGGCCUUUCCAGGCCCAACUUUUGUCUCAUGGCAACCUUCCCUGGCCAGAUUCCUGCCUGUCUCCCAGCAGCCUAGACAGGCCCAGGUCUUGCCUCACACUGGCCUCUCUACAUCCAGCUUAUGCCUCACGGUGGCCUCUCCACGGCCAACUCCUGUCCCAGGACAUCAUCUCCGGGCCCAAAACUUACUCAAGUCAGACUCUCUAGUCCCAACUGCUGCCUCCUGGUGGCCUAUGAAGGCCCAAAAUCUCCUCAAGUUGACCUGUCCAGGCCCAGCUCCUGCCUCCUGUCAGCGUCUACAGGCCCAACCUCUGCCUCAUGGGGGCUUCUCCAGGCCCACCUCUUCCUCUUGGCUGGGUCUACAGGCACAACUGCUGCCUCACAACAGCCUUUUUUGGCCCAGUUCCUGUCCAGCUAAUGGCGGCCAAUGUAGGCCCAAAACUUCCUCAAGUCAAACUCUCCAGGCCCACCUUCUGCUUCCCGGUGGCAUCAACAGGCCCAGCUUUGACUUGAGAACAGCCUCUGCAGGCCCUGCUCUUGCCUCCCAGGGGCUUUUUCCAGGCCCAGCUCUUGCCUCAUGGCAGCUGCCCCAGGCCAAAUUUCUGCCUGCCUGCCAGCAGCCUCAACAGGCACAGCUCCUCCCUCACAGUGGCCCAUUUAGGCCCAACUUAUGACUGUGAGGCCAUUUCCAGGCCUAGUGCCUGCCUCGUGGCUGACUCUUGAAGCCCAAAACUUCCUCAAAUCAGGCUUUUGCCCAACUUCUGUCUACUGUCGGACUCUACAGGUCAGCCUCUGCCUCACAGUGGACCCUCCAGACCCAGAUGGUGUCUCACUGUGGCAUCCUCAGGUGAAGCUCCUGCCUUUCGGCAGCCUCUCCAGGCCCAGCUCCUCCUGCCUCCCAGUGGCCUCUUUCGGCCCAGCCCAGCUCAUGCCUCCCGGCGGCCUUCCCAAGCCCCGCUUUUGACUUUCGGUGGCCUCUGCAGGCCUCGACAAGGCCCAGCCUCCUGCCUCCCGAAGGCCUGCACAGGCCCAGCCUCUGCCUCACAGCGGACUCUCCACGCCCAGCUAGCUGUUGCUUCACUGCGGCCUCCCGAGUCCAAAGCUCCUGCCUCUCGGCCGCUUCGGCAGGCCCAGCUCCCGCCUGCCAGUGGCCUCUUCAGGCCCAUGGGGCUCAUUCCUGACAACGGCCUUUCCAGGCCCAGUUUUUCCCUUCCAGCGGCCUCUCCGGGCCCAGAACCUCCUCAAGUCGGCCUCUCCAGACCCACUUGCACCCUCCGGGCGUUCUCUCCGGGCCCAGCUCUUCUUCCUGGUUGGGUCUCCAGGCCCGAUUCCUGCCUCUCAACAACCUCUUUGGACUCAGUGCCU